UCUACCAAUAUCGACCCAUCCUGAACAUGCUCGAUCUCGUCUGAUCUUGGAAGCUAGUCUGGGUUGGGCCUGGUUAGUACUAGGAUGGGAGAACUGGUGAAGGCAGCUAAGCGGUAGAA
Molecule: ribosomal RNA, 119 nt
Organism: Erinaceus europaeus (western European hedgehog)
Lineage: Eukaryota; Metazoa; Chordata; Mammalia; Eulipotyphla; Erinaceidae
Source: Ensembl